Molecule: long non-coding RNA, 949 nt
Filed under: Pan troglodytes (chimpanzee)
Lineage: Eukaryota; Metazoa; Chordata; Mammalia; Primates; Hominidae
Description: long non-coding RNA NONPTRT016836
Source: RNAcentral
GGCUUCCUUCACUCUUUGGAAACCCAGAGAAUGAGACUCUGCCCAAAGGUGAAAUGCAGUCAGCUAAGUUUUUGGGUGCCUUUCUGGAUUUGAGAACCUGUUUGGAAUCAGCCAUACAUUUCCGUCCACUGGGAAAUGGGGUUGACCUGCCUUAGCCAGGCCUCACAUGCCAUCCUGAUGAAACAUUAUUUUAGGGGCUGGCAGCCCUGAGCUGGCUUCUGUUCUGCUGGCCCCAUAGGCUGGCUCAGUUCCAGGCUCACCUUUCGCUACCCUUGUGGCUGCCACAUUGCCCAGCUUUGAUUUAUCGUGUCUUCAGCAGAGCUGUGGGCCUAGAGUGAUUUAAUGUUGAUAUUAUAUGUCACACAGAAGAUGCCAGCAUCGCCAGCAGAUCUCAUGUCUCCACUCUCCAGCGGUCUGGAUUGAGGACCCUAAAGAAGGCAGGUGACCCUAAGGCCCCCUCUUGGAAAGGGGCUGUUGAGCGUCCUUUACUCUUCUUAAAAUUUCCAUUUGAAACCUGUUUUGCUGCAUGUCACCCCCUGCAGCCAAUAUUGAUGUUAAUCUUGGGCUGCAUAUGCAAUGUGACCUCGGAUGAAAUUGAACAACUGGGUAAUUAUCUGUGGACCUAUUUCUAAUGAAAUAAUUGGAAUAAUUGGAAUAGGAUUAGUAGAACUGCAGAGAGACCUGUUGCUCCUAGCUGGGCUCUUAAUGCCAAACAAAAGAAGCAACGUGUCAGUAAUUCAGUUGGUGGAUGCCUUGGAGCCAUUCAAGAUGCAUUUUGCUCAUUAGCCAAAUCUCUUCCUGCCCUCAUCCUCCCCCAACAUUUGUUUCAGAUGUGAUUUUCAUGAAGCAUGUCCCUGUGUCUUGUUUGUCUUUGGCAAACACAAGUAACUAUUGUAAAUAUAGCAUUGGAUCUCCCUGCUCUUUGGGGACCGUGAGAUUUAUAGUGCCA